AGAGAGAGAGCAUAUAUAUAUAUUCUUUAGUGGAAAUGCAUCUACAUAGUGAUGCCAACCAUAGCUUCCAGUGCUCAUUCUGUAAGCAUAAUUUUUACAAUGUUUUUCUCCUGUCUAUAACCAAGGAUGUUUUCAUAAGGCACAAUGAAUCUGCAUAUGUUGUAAUUUCCGUUACAUUUGGCCUGAUACCAUAGGCAAAACACUAAUAGCUGAUGGAAGUUAGGCUGUGUCUUUAGUCAUCUAGUAAAGCAACACUAUCUGGAUCUCUGGAUGUCUAUGAAAUAAGGAAAAGGUCAUCCAUUGAUUUGAUCCGCAAUGAAUUUGCAAAUUUAUAUGGAAGUCCACAUGAUUAUUUGAAUCUUAUCCAAAACUUAUCCUAAACCAAUUAAUGACUUAGAUGUAAGACCACAAAGUCAGUUUAAAUAUUUUAAUGAGCCAUCUAGUACAAUAAAUAUGGCAAAAUCAUUUUUUCUUAUCCUUCUAUCUUUGAGUAAUUACAUAUCUCGUAUGUGAAAAAGUGUGAACAUGGUUUAUAUCACAAACUCUGUACACACAGAGACAUAUACACACAUAUUAGUGUAUACCAUUUAUAGCUGUAUUAGUCUUUUAUUUAGUCAUGAUGUUUAUAGAUUAAUAUGUGAAAAAUAUCUAAGCUUAAACAUACACAAUGUUGAAAUAAAAUAUACUAUAAUCAACAGCUUAAUGACUGUACAUGAAAUCACUAGCAUCAUCACAUUUUAGAAUUACAAGGUGUCAAACAGUCCCCUCAUUUUAAUAGAAGAGGAGACUGAGGCCCAGCAUGAAACAGUGACUUGAUUGGGAUUACAAAAUUGUCAGGGAUAUAAUGUGGACUAGAGUCCAAGUUAUGGAAUGUAGUGUCCAGUAUUCUUAUUUAUCUGAUCAUACUACCUUUGGGGGAAAAAAACUGAAUUUCUGUAACUUUCUGUGUGUGUAUUUCAAUUGCAGUAGAAAUCUGUUGAAAUUUACUUACUUAUUUAUGACUAUAUAUUUGGCUAUGAAGAUUGACAUCUUUACAAUAGACUAUAAUUCUGCUUUAGGCUCCAGUUCUUCUGUGUAAAAUUAUCUGGGAAAAUAUAAUUCAAAAUUUACAGAAUUUUAAAGAAGUUAAUAAUUCUUUUCCCUCAUGUAGGAUUGUAAUUGAUAACAUAGAGUAAAGCAUCUUAACAUGGUUAAGAACAUAUAUUCUGUUGACAGAAUUUUUAAUAUUAGCAGAACAAUGAUAACAGACAUAAGUUCCUUCCUAGCAAUUAGUAUAUUUCAAUAAAAAUUCAUUUAAAUAGAAAAGAAUUAAAACAUUCUACACAUUAUGUAUGAAACUUUUUAUGCAUUCUAAUUGUGAUAAUCUUUUACCUUUUUCAUCAAUAUUGAUAAUUACUUUUGACUUCUGGGCUUGUGUGCAUUUUAUCAACUUUGCACAUACAUUUUAUUUUAGUAGCAUCCUUAACACACAGUCAUGCACGAAUGUUUUCUCUUAAUUUGUUUUCUAGCAAGUUUUUAGAAGAAUAUGACAUUUUGUUAACUUUCAAUUGGAUUGCUUCCUUGUUAGGCAGUUAACCAAUCUAGUGUACUAGAUUCUAAAUUUGCACAGUGAUAAAAUAUAAAUUAUUGAAUCUAUUAAUUUUAAAAAUAAAAUCUGAACUAUUUUAAAAACU
This 1673-nucleotide long non-coding RNA is filed under the name Homo sapiens (human). RNAcentral's name for it is "non-protein coding lnc-STIM2-10:1". Lineage: Eukaryota; Metazoa; Chordata; Mammalia; Primates; Hominidae. The record is from RNAcentral.